GAUAAUACUAGUUAGAUAUAUAGUAGAGGG
RNAcentral lists this transfer RNA (30 nucleotides) under Artemisia armeniaca. RNAcentral's name for it is "partial tRNA-His". The record is from RNAcentral. Lineage: Eukaryota; Viridiplantae; Streptophyta; Magnoliopsida; Asterales; Asteraceae.